This 1205-nucleotide long non-coding RNA is filed under the name Cicer arietinum (chickpea). Its description in RNAcentral is "long non-coding RNA (CARI_LNC002701)". The record is from RNAcentral. Lineage: Eukaryota; Viridiplantae; Streptophyta; Magnoliopsida; Fabales; Fabaceae.
UAUUUUAUUUUCUCCCUAAAAAAUUAAUUGUAGGUCAGGCUCAGGCCUUUCAAAGUCUGGCUUAUUCCCACCCCUAUUUAUGGUAAAGAGAAUGUAUCAAUAAUUAACAAGGAUAAUUUAAUAAAAUUUACAUUAUAUUCCUUUCAUUUGUCAUAUUUUCGUAUCUUGUGUGAAAUGGUUCAAUACGAUAAUUAUUAUAGGAUAAAUAGAGUAUCUGAAACAUUUAUUGUAUGAUUAAAAUAAAAUUUUGAUAGAAAAAUAAACGCAUAAAAAUUUACCCUUUGUGAUACAUAUUCUUAAAUGUAUUUUUUUAAGAACAUUUUCUUUCAUUUUUUUUAAUGAACUUUUUAGGAUACAGUCAAAUAUCAAUACCAAUAAAUUAUAUGUAAAUACCUUUAGUUUUAAAAAACAUAACCUUUAAAAUUUACUUCAUGUGACAAUAUAAUUUUUUUACAAGAUGUGACAAAAUAAAUUAGUAUUAUCUAGGGGUAGUCAAAUAUCAUAUAAUAAAGUAAUAAAGGGUAGUCUUUACCCAAAAAAAAAAAAAGCAAUUGUAAAUCUAUAUAUUUGGAAAUUUACUUAAUAUGACAAAAUAAAUAAUUUCUUUAAACAAAAAGAUUUGCACACACUUAAAUAAUGCUGAAAUUUGGUCAAAUUUAGAUACUUUUGAGGGUUCAACUUGUGUGUAUAAAUACCUACAUACAUAUGCUUUAGCAAUACCAAGAGAAGUUAACUAUUUUAUUUUCUUUGAAAAAAAAACACUUGCAGCUACGAUGGAAAAAACAAUGAAAAUGAUGUUGAAGAUUAUGUUGGUGUUUAUUGGUAUUGCAACUAUCCUAGUUGGAAGUGUAACACAAGCAAAUGAUGAUGACAAUUGUAUCCCAAUGCCAGAAGCAUGUUACGUAAACCCAAAAUGUUGCAAAUAAUUACCCAUGGUUUUACUAUCUCUCCAACAUUUUAAAAUUCUAUGCUCUUUUGUUAUUUUUACUAUGAUAAAAAUAAUUUGUGUUUGAGACAGAGUGUAAUAUGUAACAAAAUGAAAUGAAAUGAUAUGGAUGAAUAAGAAAAUAUGAUUUCUUUUUUACUAUUAUUGUUGCAUUUUUUUUAAUUUAGCGUUGCUUUCUCGUGUAGUUAGGGAUUCGAAUAUGCUAAGUCGUCCGUCAGGGGUCUAUGGCUUGACCUACUUAUGGUCUGAUCUGGUCUGG